This is a non-coding RNA of Paramuricea clavata, 726 nucleotides long. NCBI's taxonomy places the organism in Eukaryota, Metazoa, Cnidaria, Anthozoa, Malacalcyonacea, Plexauridae. The record is from the annotation of a GenBank genome assembly.
AUAAAAACUGACGAACCCAAUAUUCCUCAAAUGUUUUAAGGUGUUAGUCAAGUUUAAUAUCUGAAAGUUAUUUAUAAUACGACCCUUUUUUGACGUCGUGCAAAAUAUACAAAAAUUGGCUAAAGCUGGAGUUACACGAGCAACAAAAUUGCUGCAACUUGCAACAAAAUCUGAUUUUAACGCGUGUUGAGUAUGGUUUUGCAUUUACAAAUAGAAGAAUCAUUAAUGAUCCAAGACCAAGUUCUUGAUAAUAACUUUUUACUUGAAAAACACAUGUCAGACACAAUUUAUUUUUUGUGGGAGAAGGGGUUCUGGGUUUUGAAGACUCCAUUUUUUAUUAAUUGGCAAGCAUCAUUCCAACUCAUGUCACACGCUAAGCUGCACUGAUUCUGAAUGCUGACUGUGAGAAAUCAGAGGCAACUAGACAAACCUGACCAAGGAACUGUUACACUUGCAUGUGGACACGUGUUAUGUAUACUACAUAAAGCACUUUGAUUAAGAUUAGCAUAAUUUAGUAAACGCAUGUAAGUUAGCUCUCUCUUAUAGAACACAUGUUUGUGUGAAAAGCAAUAUAUAUUUUACCUCUGUGCUCGUUUUCUGUGGUAUAAUAAACGACUGCCUGCUAGGCAGUUAAGACAAGUUAACAAUCGCAUCUAUUAAAAUAGAAUAGAAAUCAAUUGAAAUCUAUUUACAGUUAGCUAUAUUAAAAGUUUUAACCGACGAAGG